AGCUCCUUCGGGAGUGAGUAAAGCGGCGAACGGUUGAGUAAUACGUAAGAAUCUGCCCUUCAGUGAAGAAUACCUUUGAGAAAUCGAAGUUAAUGCUGCAUAAUCCCCCUUGGGGGCAAAGGUGGCCUCUUUGCUACCGCUGAAGGAUGAGCUUGCGGCCUAUCAGCUUGUUGGUGAGGUAAAAGCUUACCAAGGCUAUGACGGGUAGCCGGCCUGAGAGGGUGGUCGGCCAGACUGGAACUUAGACACGGUCCAGACUCCUACGGGAGGCAGCAGUGGGGAAUCUUGCGCAAUGGGCGAAAGCCUGACGCAGCGACGCCGCGUGGAGGAUGAAGGUCUUCGGAUUGUAAACUUCUGUUAAGUGGGAAGAAAUAGUCAUGUUAAAUAAACAUGAAAGAUGACGGUACCAUUAGAGAAAGCACCGGCUAAUCUCGUGCCAGCAGCCGCGGUAAUACGAGAGGUGCUAACGUUAUUCGGAAUUACUGGGCGUAAAGGGUGCGUAGACGGCGUAGCAAGUCCGUUGUUAAAUUUUCCGGCCCAACCGGAAGUCAGCGAUGGAAACUGCCAUGCUAGAGGUUAGAAGAGAGAAGUGGAAUUCUCGGAGUAGCGGUAAAAUGCGUAGAUAUCGAGAGGAACACCGAUGGCGAAAGCAGCUUCUUGGUCUAGCCUGACGUUGAGGCACGAAAGCGAGGGUAGCAAACAGGAUUAGAUACCCUGGUAGUCCACGCCGUAAACGAUGAUCACUAAACGUUGGUUCUGCUUAGCAGAAUUAGUGUUGUAGCUAACGCGCUAAGUGAUCCGCCUGGGGAUUACGGUCGCAAGACUAAAACUUAAAGGAAUUGACGGGGGUCCGCACAAGCGGUGGAACAUGUGGUUUAAUUCGACACUACGCGAGGAACCUUACCUAGGCUUGACAUGCAUAUGACAGCUGUAGAAAUACAGUCUUUCUGCGAAAGCCUGAACAUUUGCACAGGUGCUGCAUGGCUGUCGUCAGCUCGUGUCGUGAGAUGU
This 1011-nucleotide ribosomal RNA is filed under the name uncultured bacterium. RNAcentral describes it as "bacterial SSU rRNA". It matches the Rfam family "Bacterial small subunit ribosomal RNA", at positions 73 to 1075 of the family's 1533-position model. The record is from RNAcentral.